AUAUAGUCAAUACUUGAUAAAAGUUUCUCAUUUCAAUUGACACAUCUCAUUAUCAAGCCUACAAUCACAGGUCAUAAUGAAAUAUUCCUCACAUUUGUUUCUUGAUUUGUUGCUCCUUCUCCGGAAGUGUGCGUAUGUCUGCACGGAAGGUGAAUGUUUCAGCAUGAAAUUCUUUGGGAACAUUUGUUUCAUCAAGUUGCAGGGCAGAAAAGCACGGCCUCCUGUUCACCAAGGACUCAGUGGAAUCCAUACUCUCCAAGUUUCUCAAAAAGUUCACAGUUCUGUUGGACUAAAUUCUUAGGCUCAUCUAUCAGAGGCUGAAGCUCAUCAAACUGGAAGAUAAAAGAACUGUGUUUCAGACACCAGUCAGUGCUGGAGAGAACGUGUGGAAAAGGGAGUUCUCCUAUGUUGCUGACGGGCAUGUAAACUAGUAUAAGCACUAUGGAAAUCAGUAUGGAGAUUUGUCCAUAAACUAAAAAUAUAGAGUCUGAAAAAUAAAAUGUAUACACAUUUCAGCAGUUGGAUGUACUAAUAAAUGUCUGGAAACUAAUGAUCACUUCUGUGAGCACCUUUUGUUAUUGUAGAGGCAAUGGUAAUUGUAUUAAUCCCAUGAUGUCUCAGUAAAUUUAGUAUUAAAAUAUUGACACAAGUUUUUCUUUUCUGGUGUAUACUUUUUUUAAUGGACUCUGUAUAAAAAUACCAUCUGAUUCAGGUACAUCUCUCAUGGGUAUACUCCCAAAAGAAAAGGCACCACAGUGCAGUGAUACGUGUAUACCCAUGUCAGUAUACAGCAGUGCAAUUCAUGACACAAGCUCUGGAGACAGCUGAGAUCACUUUCCAGAGAUGAAUGGAUAAAGAAAAUGUGGUAUAUGUAUGCAAUGGCAUAGUAUUCAGCCAUAAAGAAGAAUGAAACCCUAUCAUUUGCACAAUAAUGGAUGGAACUUGAGACCAUGAUACCAAGUGAAAUAAGUUAGACUCAGAAAGCUAAAUAUGGUAUGUUUCUUUUUUAGGAGAAACCUAAAAUAUAAAUAAGUAAAUAAAAUAAAGGAAAAGUGAUGCAAGCUAGAUAGCUGGCUUUGAAGAUGGGGAAAAUUAGGGGGAAGAGAGCAAAAAGGAAAAAAGGAAUUGAAAAUGAUCAAGAUAUAUUAAAUGCAUGAAUCAAUUCCCCAAACAAACAUCACUAUUUUAUAUUUUAAAUGUAAACACAGAUACAAUGUUUAAAAAGAAUUGUGUUUAUAGUAUUCCCUUUGAGAACCAGAUGCAUAUCAUCUUUGACCUCUUAUGUAUUUCUGCUCAAAAUCACAUGAGUAUAUCUUCAACACAUGUGUCACAUUACACCCAGAUUGUCUUUUUAUUUGGAGAGACUGCAUAGUACAGUAGUUAAGAAUCUUCAGGCUUUGCAGUUCAGUCUUACAGCCAGGCCAUCUGACUCAUUUUCUAGUUGUGCGUCUUCGCUUACCGUCCCCAAGCUUCAGAAUCCUCAUUUCUAUAAUAAAGGUGAUGAUAUUGUUUACCUCACAGAACUCAUAAACCAACUAAGUCGGUGACAUUAAAGUUGCACCAGGUACACAGGAAAAGUUCAGUGAAUGAUGGUGCAUUGCUGUUAUUAUUUUUAUUAUUGUGCCUGAACUCAGUUGAACUGAGUUGGAGCCUGAGUUCUCUCAGGUAAUAUAUUUUUGCCUUCUGCAUCAGCUGCACUGUGGCUCCUGGCAUACAGCAGCUUCUUGGUAGAG
This 1733-nucleotide long non-coding RNA is filed under the name Chinchilla lanigera (long-tailed chinchilla). RNAcentral describes it as "lncRNA (ENSCLAG00000023086.1)". The record is from RNAcentral. Lineage: Eukaryota; Metazoa; Chordata; Mammalia; Rodentia; Chinchillidae.